GUGUGACUGCGUACCUUUUGUAUAAUGGGUCAGCGACUUAUAUUCUGUAGCAAGGUUAACCGUAUAGGGGAGCCGUAGGGAAACCGAGUCUUAACCGGGCGUUAAGUUGCAGGGUAUAGACCCGAAACCCGGUGAUCUAGCCAUGGGCAGGUUGAAGGUUGGGUAACACUAACUGGAGGACCGAACCGACUAAUGUUGAAAAAUAUUU
Molecule: ribosomal RNA, 208 nt
Filed under: Salmonella enterica subsp. enterica serovar Bareilly
Lineage: Bacteria; Pseudomonadati; Pseudomonadota; Gammaproteobacteria; Enterobacterales; Enterobacteriaceae
Description: partial 23S ribosomal RNA
Rfam family: Bacterial large subunit ribosomal RNA
Source: RNAcentral